Chelonoidis abingdonii (Abingdon island giant tortoise) is the source of this 101-nucleotide non-coding RNA. NCBI's taxonomy places the organism in Eukaryota, Metazoa, Chordata, Testudines, Testudinidae. The record is from RefSeq and is a predicted model, not a curated record.
CACUGGGGUGAGCUGGGGCCCUGUGAACGUGUGGGACCGGGGCUUGAACCUCUCCGAGGGGCGGAGGGGAGCCACACCGGCUCACUACACGUUCUCUGGCC